RNAcentral lists this long non-coding RNA (928 nucleotides) under Homo sapiens (human). Its description in RNAcentral is "HSALNT0381456". The record is from RNAcentral. Lineage: Eukaryota; Metazoa; Chordata; Mammalia; Primates; Hominidae.
CACAAGGUCAAGAGAUCGAAAUAAUCCUGGCCAACAUGGUGAAAUCCCAUCUCUACUAAAAAUACAAAAAUUAGCUGGGCGUGGUGGUGUGCGCCUGUAGUUCCAGCUAUUCGGGAGGCUGAGGCAGAAGAAUCGCUUGAACUCGGGAGGCAGAGAUUGCAGUGAGCCGAGACUGCACCACUGCACUCCAGCCUGGUGACAGAGCGAGACUCCAUCUCAAAAAACAAACAAACAAACAAACAAAAAACCAAAAACAUAUCGUGCUAAUUUUUCUGCCUUUUGAUUUGAAAGUUUAAUCUAUUUACAUAAAGUAAUAACUGAUAAGAAAGUACUACUUAUGCCAUUUUGCUCUUUGUUUUCUGUAUGUCUUUUAAAAAAAUUCUUAACCUUUGUGUAAAUACUACCAGAGCAAGACUUUUCUAAAAUGUCAAAAAACAACAGGUGUUGGUGAGGAUGCAGAGAAAAGGGAAACUCAUACACUGCUGAUGGGAAUGCAAACCAGUACAACUUCUAUGGAAAACGAUAUGGAGACUCUCAAAGAACUAAAAGCAGAACCAUCAUUCCGUCCAGCAAUCCCACCACUGGUCAUCUACCCAAAGAUGAUUGGACAAAGAAAAUAUGGUAUAUGUAUACCAUGGAAUACCACUCAGCCAUUAAGAAAAAGAAUGAAAUCAUGUUUUUUGUAGCAACAUGGUUGGAACUGGAGGCCGUUAUCUUCAGUGAAAUAACUCCGAAAUGGAAAGUCAAAUACCACAUGUUCUCACCCAUAAGUGGGAGCCAAACAAUGUGUACACAUGGACAUGGAGUGUGGAACAAUAGACACUGGAGACUUGGAAAGGUGGGAGGGUUCGAGGGGGGUAAGGAAUGUACAAUUGUACCUUUUGGGCACAAUUGUAGACUAUCUGGGUGAUGGGGACACUGAAAGCCC